GGGUUCGUAGUCUAGCUUGGUAGGAUUCGAGGUUCGGGUAACCUUUUCUUGGGAAGAAAAACUUAACCAAAAGAAGGAAAGAAAAACCUCGUGGCCGGAGUUCAAAUCUCCGCGAACCCA
Molecule: transfer RNA, 120 nt
Filed under: archaeon GW2011_AR5
Lineage: Archaea
Description: tRNA-Pro
Source: RNAcentral